GGCGAGCGAGAGCGCGAGGGAGCGCGCGGAGUGUGUCUGGGUGGACCCCAGGGACAGAAAUUAACAUCGGCGAGAUGAUUCCCUGCCUACUUCUGAGACUCUUUUCGGGAACACAACUCGUCCCCAUCUGCCACCAGCCUGAGAUGAGACAAAUGCGAUUAUCCACGUUGGGGAAUCGCAGGUAGCCUCCUGCCAACCCACCCCAGGACACAGGAGAAACUAAAAAGGAAUUCGACCUGGGCUGACACCCCAAGGAAGGAGGACUUGGGGUGGGGGGAUGUGGCAGUUUAUCAGGAUGGGACAUCCAGUGGGUUUCCAGUCUUGGAUUGAUACAUCUGUGUCUAAAAGAGAUUUUUAGUCCAGAAUCGCCAAGGACAGCCAAUUUCUGGUGUGGUUGAAAGAGGUGGCUUUCAGCUCCUUUGCUGUUUCCUCUGAGAAGGAUCCAGAAACCACUUGGCAGGGCAGUUUCUACUAAAGAAAACUUUGGCCUGUUUGGUUGAUGACUAUCGAAGCUGGUUCGAAUAGGCCACCCCGCAUCUAGUUACGUGUGGCCACUAACUGCCAAUUCCCACUGGUAAUUUUGCUAUUAAACAUACAGUCUCAGCCAUAAAUGAUACACUGGAGAGGCAUUAAUAAUGUCUGGAGGAUAACAUUCAGAUAAUUAACAGUUGCUAAUAAGUCACAUUCUACACCUCCCUUCUAUUGAAACUCACCCAUCACAUAGUAGGUGUUUAAUAAAAUCCACAGAAAGUA
Long non-coding RNA from Suricata suricatta (meerkat), 753 nucleotides. RefSeq lists it as uncharacterized. The record is from RefSeq and is a predicted model, not a curated record. Lineage: Eukaryota; Metazoa; Chordata; Mammalia; Carnivora; Herpestidae. The transcript has 2 exons.